AAACUAAUCCAACUCUCUCGUUCUCCCAAAUUCCCAAAUCUCAUAAAAAUUCAUCCCCUUCAAAUUCUCUUAGAUCUCAGGGAGAUGAAGGUGGGGGAAAAAGAAGAGGAAAAGAAAAAAAGUUGUGCUGGGAAUUUCCUUUUGAGACUCAAAGUUUUCUUUUAGAGCUGAAAAAUUUGAGAGUCACCUUAAGAAAACACUGGCUAGAAAAUACAGUAAUACGUUCAAAGAAGAGGGUGCCUUAGUUUGGUCAAGAUAUCAAGCUUUCAUUCCAUUUGCAUUUGUUUACUCGAGUUUCGCUUGAGGUCCAAAUCCAUGAUGGAAGUCUCCCCUAGCUCGUGCGGUCCUGCUUCAUUGCCCAGAUAAAGAGGGUCGUGAAGAAUGAUAUUCCUUUCUAUCAAGUUAAGCCAUGAAGAUUGACGUACGGAUCCCAAGGUUGAAGGAAUCAAAGCCAAUCGGAGAGUUGAAGAAGUUAUGCCCAGAGGGCCUACUUUUAUUAUAGUUAUUUUGUUAGUAUAAGAGAGGUACAAUCGAAGUGGGCCUAAGACCCAAAAUAAAUGGGUGAAAAACACCGGUCCAGACGAACAGAAAUCGCAUUUAGACCCAACUCUCUCUUUCCCUUUCUUUUA
Solanum pennellii is the source of this 629-nucleotide long non-coding RNA. RefSeq lists it as uncharacterized. NCBI's taxonomy places the organism in Eukaryota, Viridiplantae, Streptophyta, Magnoliopsida, Solanales, Solanaceae. The record is from RefSeq and is a predicted model, not a curated record. The transcript has 3 exons.